Long non-coding RNA from Euleptes europaea (tarantolino), 408 nucleotides. RefSeq lists it as uncharacterized. The record is from RefSeq and is a predicted model, not a curated record. The transcript has 8 exons. Lineage: Eukaryota; Metazoa; Chordata; Lepidosauria; Squamata; Sphaerodactylidae.
AGGGAGAAAAUGGUCUGAUAGGUACUCCUGGUAUCCCUGGUGAUUUUGGAGAAAAGGGUGAACGUGGUUUCCAGGGGGACAAAGGAGAAACAGGUGAAAAGGGGGAAAAGGGAGACCAAGGAGAGAAAGGAACCGACGGCAUCCCUGGGAGAGAUGGUUUAAAAGGUGAUGCCGGUGAUCAUGGAAUGCCUGGUCCAAAGGGUGAAAAGGGCGAUAUAGGGCCUCCAGGACCAGCUGCUCUUAGCAGUGUGCUAGGGAUAGAAGGUCCUCAAGGCCCACCUGGGAAAGAAGGUCAAAGGGGACGACGAGGCAAGCCUGGACUACCUGGGAAACAAGGACCACCAGGACCUCCUGGCCCUCCAGGUGCUCCAGAAUAUCCAGAUACUUUUAAAGAGCCAUAUUACCAGG